UCCCAUACUGGUGAUGAAGCUCACCGUGCUCUUAUGCAGAACCGCCGCAAGGCAAUGCGACUAAUAGCUUCUCCAGACAU
This 80-nucleotide non-coding RNA is filed under the name Methanocella paludicola. Its description in RNAcentral is "Fluoride sequence". It matches the Rfam family "Fluoride riboswitch aptamer (crcB RNA motif)". The record is from RNAcentral. Lineage: Archaea; Methanobacteriati; Methanobacteriota; Methanomicrobia; Methanocellales; Methanocellaceae.